RNAcentral lists this ribosomal RNA (457 nucleotides) under uncultured bacterium. RNAcentral describes it as "bacterial SSU rRNA". It matches the Rfam family "Bacterial small subunit ribosomal RNA", at positions 28 to 507 of the family's 1533-position model. The record is from RNAcentral.
GACGAACGCUGGCGGCGUGGAUUAGGCAUGCAAGUCGAACGGUAACAGGUCUUCGGAUGCUGACGAGUGGCGAACGGGUGAGUAAUACAUCGGAACGUGCCCGAUCGUGGGGGAUAACGGAGCGAAAGCUUUGCUAAUACCGCAUACGAUCUACGGAUGAAAGCGGGGGACCGUAAGGCCUCGCGCGAUUGGAGCGGCCGAUGUCGGAUUAGCUAGUUGGUGAGGUAAUGGCUCACCAAGGCGACGAUCGGUAGCUGGUCUGAGAGGAUGAUCAGCCACACUGGGACUGAGACACGGCCCAGACUCCUACGGGAGGCAGCAGUGGGGAAUAUUGGACAAUGGGCGCAAGCCUGAUCCAGCCAUGCCGCGUGAGUGAUGAAGGCCCUAGGGUUGUAAAGCUCUUUCGCCAGGGACGAUAAUGACGGUACCUGGAUAAGAAGCCCCGGCUAACUUCGUG